Molecule: ribosomal RNA, 405 nt
Filed under: uncultured bacterium
Lineage: Bacteria
Description: bacterial SSU rRNA
Rfam family: Bacterial small subunit ribosomal RNA
Source: RNAcentral
GGGGAAUAUUGCACAAUGGGCGAAAGCCUGAUGCAGCGACGCCGCGUGAGGGAUGACGGCCUUCGGGUUGUAAACCUCUUUCAGCUCCGAAGAAGCGAAAGUGACGGUAGGAGCAGAAGAAGCACCGGCUAACUACGUGCCAGCAGCCGCGGUAAUACGUAGGGUGCAAGCGUUGUCCGGAAUUAUUGGGCGUAAAGAGCUCGUAGGCGGUGUGUCGCGUCUGCUGUGAAAACUCAGGGCUCAACUCUGAGCUUGCAGUGGGUACGGGCACACUAGAGUGCUGUAGGGGAGACUGGAAUUCCUGGUGUAGCGGUGAAAUGCGCAGAUAUCAGGAGGAACACCGGUGGCGAAGGCGGGUCUCUGGGCAGUUACUGACGCUGAGGAGCGAAAGCAUGGGGAGCGAAC